CUACGGGGUGCAGCAGUGAGGAAUAUUGCACAAUGGGGGGAACCCUGAUGCAGCAACGCCGCGUGGAGGAUGACGCAUUUCGGUGUGUAAACUCCUUUUAUAUGUCAAGAAAAUGACGGUAGCAUAUGAAUAAGCACCGGCUAACUCCGUGCCAGCAGCCGCGGUAAUACGGAGGGGUGCAAGCGUUACUCGGAAUCACUGGGCGCAAAGGACGCGUAGGCGGGUUGGAAAGUCAGGUGUGAAAUCCUACAGCUUAACUGUAGAACUGCACUUGAAACUUCUAAUCUAGAGUAUGGGAGGGGGAGAUGGAAUUAGUGGUGUAGGGGUAAAAUCCGUAGAUAUCACUAGGAAUACCUAAAGCGAAGGCGAUCUCCUGGAACAUUACUGACGCUAAGGCGUGAAAGCGUGGGGAGCAAACAGGAUUAGAUACCCUCGUAGUC
This 440-nucleotide ribosomal RNA is filed under the name uncultured bacterium. RNAcentral describes it as "partial 16S ribosomal RNA". It matches the Rfam family "Bacterial small subunit ribosomal RNA", at positions 339 to 795 of the family's 1533-position model. The record is from RNAcentral.